UACGUAGGUGGCAAGCGUUGUCCGGAAUUAUUGGGCGUAAAGCGCGCGCAGGCGGUCCUUUAAGUCUGAUGUGAAAGCCCACGGCUCAACCGUGGAGGGUCAUUGGAAACUGGGGGACUUGAGUGCAGAAGAGGAAAGCGGAAUUCCACGUGUAGCGGUGAAAAUGCGUAGAGAUGUGGAGGAACACCAGUGGCGAAGGCGGCUUUCUGGUCUGUAACUGACGCUGAGGCGCGAAAGCGUGGGGAGCAAACAGG
RNAcentral lists this ribosomal RNA (254 nucleotides) under uncultured bacterium. RNAcentral's name for it is "partial 16S ribosomal RNA". It matches the Rfam family "Bacterial small subunit ribosomal RNA", at positions 524 to 776 of the family's 1533-position model. The record is from RNAcentral.